AAUGAUCAACAUUCAACUUGCUGAGCCUUUCUUCUGAGAGUGACUUGACCAGAUAUUUGGCUACCCAGUAUGAGUAUCUUUCUGCUACAUUAAAUAAAAUAUCGUGGAGGAACACAAAGAAAAGGACUGUGCAUCUCAACAUAUUCAAGGUCAAGCAGCUUUUUACCAUAUCCAUAGUAUCUUGCUGCUAAAUGAAAGAAUUAUUGUGGAGGAGCAGAGAAAAGCUUACCUCAAGAUGUUCAAGGUC
Molecule: long non-coding RNA, 247 nt
Organism: Saccostrea cuccullata (small rock oyster)
Lineage: Eukaryota; Metazoa; Mollusca; Bivalvia; Ostreida; Ostreidae
Exons: 3
Source: RefSeq, a predicted model, not a curated record